RNAcentral lists this ribosomal RNA (253 nucleotides) under uncultured bacterium. RNAcentral describes it as "partial 16S ribosomal RNA". It matches the Rfam family "Bacterial small subunit ribosomal RNA", at positions 524 to 776 of the family's 1533-position model. The record is from RNAcentral.
UACGUAGGGGGCAAGCGUUGUCCGGAUUUAUUGGGCGUAAAGAGCGUGUAGGCGGCCAGACAGGUCCGUUGUGAAAACUCGAGGCUCAACCUCGAGACGUCGACGGAAACCGUCUGGCUAGAGUCCGGAAGAGGAGUGUGGAAUUCCUGGUGUAGCGGUGAAAUGCGCAGAUAUCAGGAAGAACACCUAUGGCGAAGGCAGCACUCUGGGACGGUACUGACGCCGAGACGCGAAAGCGUGGGGAGCGAACAGG